AGUGAACGCUGGCGGUAGGCCUAACACAUGCAAGUCGAACGGCAGCACAGUAAGAGCUUGCUCUUACGGGUGGCGAGUGGCGGACGGGUGAGGAAUACAUCGGAAUCUACUUUUUCGUGGGGGAUAACGUAGGGAAACUUACGCUAAUACCGCAUACGACCUACGGGUGAAAGCAGGGGAUCUUCGGACCUUGCGCGAUUGAAUGAGCCGAUGUCGGAUUAGCUAGUUGGCGGGGUAAAGGCCCACCAAGGCGACGAUCCGUAGCUGGUCUGAGAGGAUGAUCAGCCACACUGGAACUGAGACACGGUCCAGACUCCUACGGGAGGCAGCAGUGGGGAGUAUUGGACAAUGGGCGCAAGCCUGAUCCACCCAUACCGCGUGGGUGAAGAAGGCCUUCGGGUUGUAAAGCCCUUUUGUUGGGAAAGAAAAGCAGCAGGUUAAUACCCCGCUGUUCUGACGGUACCCAAAGAAUAAGCACCGGCUAACUUCGUG
RNAcentral lists this ribosomal RNA (492 nucleotides) under uncultured bacterium. RNAcentral's name for it is "partial 16S ribosomal RNA". It matches the Rfam family "Bacterial small subunit ribosomal RNA", at positions 29 to 507 of the family's 1533-position model. The record is from RNAcentral.